AUUGAACGCUGGCGGCAGGCCUAACACAUGCAAGUCGAACGGGAACAGGAAACAGCUUGCUGUUUCGCUGACGAGAGGCGGAAGGAUGUGCAAUGUCUGGGAAACUGACUGCUGGAGGGGGCUAACUACAGGACACGGUAGCUAAUACAGCAUAACGACGCAAGACCAAAGAGGGGGAGCCUCGGGCCUCUUAGCAUCGGAUGUACCCAGUUACGAUGAGCUUGAUGGUUGGGUAACGGCUCACCAAGGCGACGCACACUAGCUGGUCUGCGAGGUGGACCAGCCACAGUGCGACUGAGAGACGGGCCAGACUGCGACGGGAGGCAGCAGUGGGCAACAUCGCACAGUGGGCGCAAGCAUGAUGCAGCCAUGCCGGGUGUAUGAAGAAGGCCUUCGGGUUGUAAAGUACUUGCCGCGGGGAUGAAGGGAUUAAAGUUAAGAACUAGACUCAUUGACGUUACCCGCAGAAGAAGCACCGGCUAACUCCGUG
This 490-nucleotide ribosomal RNA is filed under the name uncultured bacterium. Its description in RNAcentral is "partial 16S ribosomal RNA". It matches the Rfam family "Bacterial small subunit ribosomal RNA", at positions 29 to 507 of the family's 1533-position model. The record is from RNAcentral.